Molecule: unclassified non-coding RNA, 364 nt
Filed under: fungal sp.
Lineage: Eukaryota; Fungi
Description: partial internal transcribed spacer region
Rfam family: Eukaryotic small subunit ribosomal RNA (bases 1-46)
Source: RNAcentral
AAGUCGUAACAAGGUUUCCGUAGGUGAACCUGCGGAAGGAUCAUUAACACGUAUCCAACGUUAAACGCUCUCGCACACGCUCUAGCAGCAAUCCCUGGUAAAUCAUUGUUGACCAGCUAUUGAGUCAGGGACCUCUGCUUUAAAACGAUGCGAUACGAGCGCCAGAGUAAGUGCGGCCUGGCAUCCUAGCAAUCUGUCAGUGGUUGCGCAAGGAUGGCGCAGUAAACGAUCGCUGUAGGCCCACACGGCCGGCGACCGGGCCUCUGUGCUUCGGCACCUAACGACCCCAUGUUUCGUACCCGGUGCGCUGUAACAACCGCACCACAAACUCGAACAACUGUUAACAAUGGAUAUCUUGGUUCUC